Molecule: long non-coding RNA, 5340 nt
Filed under: Arachis ipaensis
Lineage: Eukaryota; Viridiplantae; Streptophyta; Magnoliopsida; Fabales; Fabaceae
Description: long non-coding RNA (AIPA_LNC002402)
Source: RNAcentral
UCCGACGAACCCCGCAAUAGCUCUUAGGCUCUACACCACCAUUUUCCACCGACUCCUCCGUGAGGUCGUUAUUGCCGCCAACAUUGCUUUCGGUAAAUAAACCAUAGAUCUAACAGAAACUGUGGUUCCCAAAGUUUCUACAAAUUCAAGAAAUUUUGAUCAGUUUUAUCGUUUAUUUAUUAUUUUUGGCGUCAAAGCUCAUUCCCACUUCUUUUAAGUUGUUGCAUUGUGGAAAUUCAGAUGUCAUUUUUGAGUUUGGGUUUCUGUCUGUGAAAAUUUCUUGGGGUUAAAGUGAUUGACAAUGUUUAAUAUCAAUUUUUAUUGGAUUUACCUUAUGUUUAAUAGUCCAAGGAUUAAUUAAUAAAUAUCUGUAUUUAUGAUCUUUGUAUUUUAACUUUUCAGGAUGUAUAUAAGAAAUUUGCUUAUGUUGAUGAUUUUGCAAUGAGUAAACAGAUGAUUAUUUCUGAGAAAUUAUUUAUUUAUUUGAUUACUAAGUUUGUGCUAAAUAAGGUUUAUUGAAACUUCAACAACCUGGAUAAGAUUUUUUUUUUUAAAUCAAUGAUUUUAGGAGUUCGAUUGAAGAUUGAAAGGGUAAAGUAGUAAGAGCUGAGCAUUUACAAAUUUUGAUGUUUGGUGAAACAGAACCUACAGUUCAAGAACCUUCUCUCAUCAUGGUCCCGCACGACCAUUAAUUGAAGCUCAAACACAACUGAAGCACAAGAAGGUAAAUUGAAACUAGACCCCCUAUUAUAACUCAUCAAUAUUAUUAGAUCAAAGCUUAUAGUAGCAAUUGCAGCUAUGCAUCUUAUGCUUAUUUUGAUUGCAUAAGAAUUAGAAACCAAGUGUGAAGAAUUUAUUGUUCAUUCGUCAGAAAUUAUAAUGUAUGUAGUUUAGAAACAAUAAGAUUAUAGCUUUGGCUUUUAUACUAUAAAUACAGUUUGUAAAUUGGCUAUUAAAAGAUUGGAGGCAUUGGAGGAUGCCAUUGAAAGCAUUGAAAUUAUCUUGACAACUUAUUUAGGGAAUUGGUAAAAAAUAAAAACCAGAGUGUCUCUUUUAAACAUUAUGACUCAAUAAAGCCUACUUACUCAUUCUUAUCUCGCUAAAUCCUACAAAAACAUUCAAAAUUUAAGAGAUAUGGAAUGAUCAGCUUUUUUUAAUCAUGUGAAUUUGUGGACGGUUUGAUAUAUAUAUAUAUAUAUAUAUAUAUAAGGCAAAUUCUGGGUGAGUCAUUGAGCAAUAUGAUUGUCAGGGACCUCAAAAACCUCGAGAGUAAAUUAGAGAAAGGAAUUAGCAAGAUUUGUUCCAAAAAGGUAUUUGAAUUCUAGUUAGGAUACAUGACUUUUGAGAUAAUUUAUUGCUAAAUAUCUAAAGAACUUAACAUUAAAAAAGAGGAAAAUUUCGUCUGUCUUACUGUCUACAUUUAAUUUAGGACAAUACUUAGAGCAAUACUUAUUAAGGUUACGUAGAAUUGAUAAGAUCUAAGGUAUGAAGUGGCAUAUGAAAUGAAAUGACACAUUAUAGCUUUAUGGAUGCAUGCUUAUUUUUUCUUCAAUUUUUACAUGCCAUUUUGUCUUGAAUUGUUCAUUGUUCUUCUGUGUUUUAAUUCUUUAUAAUACUGUAAUUCUUUGUGAUAACUUACUACCCUCCAAAAUUUUCUAGGAAUCUGUGAAGAAAAAGCAUCCACAGCUUCAUUAUGAAUCAAAUAUAUAUGCUUCUUCAAGAAGGGAGUAAGUAUAUAUACGUCUAUUUCUUUUCAGAAUUGUCUGUGCUAAAAGUCUUAGGUACUACCUAAUAGAAAAAUUUCACUUGAAAAAUGGUUUCUGCUUUCUCAAGUUUGAAAAUUUUAAAUGAUUGUUGUCCAGAAUCUUCUAGUCUUAAUGCAAUCAAAACUAUGAAUUUUGAAAUCAUGUAUUUAUAGUAAAAUCAAAUAAUUAAGACUCCAAGUUUCUCAUAAAACAAUCAUGAUGUUUUCUUUUGAGUAAUCCAAUUUGGUUCCUUAUUGAAGUUGGGAUUCUCCACCUAAAGUGGUUUGGAGUUGAAGGAGACUACAACAUUAUGGCUAUUGACCUUUUUGGACCAAGCUUGGAAGAUUUAUUCAAUUAUUACAACAGGAAGUUUACACUGAAGACAGUGUUAAUGCUUGCUGAUCAAUUAGUAAGUCUACAUGUCAACUAUUAUAAUCAAACAAGAAUCACAUGAUGUUGUGUAGUGUAGUGCAGUGCCUUUGAUUUUGACUGUUGUUGGAUUCUUUAUAAUUAUGAAAAUUCUUUUCUUUUCUUUUUUGUUGAAUUUCUUGUUACUUUUUUGGUGAUCAUCUUCUAUAAAUCCAUUUAUGGAAUUUUUCAUCAUGGGUUAGUUUGGCUUAUAGUUCUAUGACCUCAUGUAUGGACACAAAAUUUUCCAUUUUUCUAUUGAUUCAUAUUACUUUUCCGUAAUCUGCAGAACUGAUGAGGUAAUCAACACUCAAUUGAUGGUUUCUCGGUAAAUUCUCCAAAAAUGGGUCAAGCAUUUUUCUCCAUAUUUCAGCUGGAAACAAAGAGGUUGUUAUGGCUUAUUGGCAUUACAUUUGCAGUAUGUAAAUUAAAUUAUUAGUUUUAUUAUAGAAUUGUAAUUUUUUUAAUUAUAAUUAUAGCAUGUAAAGAAUUUAUGUAAAUCAAUAAAAAAAGUCAAUUAUUUUUAUACUUUCGUACUUUCUCCCUUCAAAAGCGUGGCUAUGUCUCCUAUUGGCACGCUUUCGAAGUGUAGCUAACACUAACUCAAUUGGCACAUUUCUAAAAAAGCGUGGUGAAAAGAUAUCGCUAUACUUUUUGCAUAUUUGGAGUGCUUUAAAAGCAUAGCAAAACCUAGUUUUUCUUGUAGUGCGAGAUACUUAUCGAUUUGUUACUAGUUUAAAAGGAAUUUGCGAUGACAUUUUGCGAUACUAUUACAACUAAUUGACUACAGAUUAUUUCCUAGCAAAUUAGCGAUUAUUUCAUAACUCUAUUUUCUCAUUUCGAAUAGCUUUGGUUUAACGACAAAAUUCCUACAAAUUUGAUUAAGGAUUUUUAAAGAUUAGCUAUAGAUUUGCUACAAAAUGUGACAGAUUUGCGAUCAUAUUAGCGGACAACUUGCGACGAGUUAGGUUCGGAAAAAUUCCUCUCGAAUUAGCGUCAACUAAUCAUUUUAUUUUGUCUAUGAAGUUAGCUUGCAUUUAGCGAUGAGUCUGCUGCAGUAGAUUUUGUCGCUAAUUAGCGACUACUGUUUAGUCUAUUUCUUCUAUGGAAUUAGCUUUUACUUUAGUGAUAGAUUUGCGACUAUCUAUUCGGUAGCAAAAAAACUUUCCGAUAAAUUAGCGACUGUUGUGUUUGCCUCACUGAUUUGCGACUUGUAAUCAGCGAGGAAAGCAUUAGUAGCUAAGCGGUAGCUAAUCCGUCACAAAUUAUAUUUUUCGUCGAAUUAGCGAUGAUUUUACGACUCUUUUUGUGGUAGCUAAUCGGCCAUAUUCUUGUAGUGUUCAUGCUUUAAAUACAAAAGGGCAGUUUGCUUCCAGGAAUUUAGCUGUUAAGAUUGAUAUGAAUAAAGCCUAUGACAGGGUUGAAUGGUCGUUCCUAGAAGCAACUCUGAAUGCUUUUGGGUUUAAUCCGCACUGGGUCAGGUUGAUUAUGAUGUGUGUCUCGCAGGUUUCUUAUAAAAUUAAGAUCAAUGGUGUUUUGUCGACGAGGUUUAUGCCGCAGAGGGGACUAAGGCAGGGAGACCCCCUUUCGCCAUACCUGUUUAUCAUAGCAGCUGAAGUUUUUACUAUUCUCAUGGACAAGGCCAAAGAAGAGGGUAGAAUCUCUGGUGUCAAAAUUGCUCCCACUGCUCCAGUCAUUUCUCAUCUCCUCUUUGCGGAUGAUUGCAUUAUCUUCUCGAAAGCUAGUGAGGAGGAAGUUUAUCAGCUCAUUACUAUUUUAAAUAUGUAUACAGAAGCCUCGGGGCAGCGAAUAAAUGUUGACAAGUCUGGUAUCACGUUUGGCAACCAGGUUCCGAUCAGAAAUAGAGUAGAAAUAGAAGAGAUCUUAGGGUUGCCGGCUUGGGAUCAACCAGGCAAGUACCUGGGUCUUCCAGCCCAGUGGGGCAGAUCUAAGAAUAAAGCUCUUAGAUCAGAACCUUUCUAUGGCGGGCCUCGCAUAACAUUUUGCCAGUGUUCCAAAAUCUUUAUAAUAAGAAAAUCUCUAACACUCCUACCUGUCCUAUUUGUUUGCAAGAACCAGAGUCCACUGAGCAUGCGCUUCUACUCUGCCCUUGGACAAGGGCUGCGUGGUUCGGAGCUCAAAUCCAGUGCUGUCCUACGGCCUAUACUGUAUCAUCUUUUGGGAAAUGGAUAAUGGAUCUUUUUAAAAGUAUGAAGAUUGGCACAGGAACUGAUUAUGAGCUGUGUAGCAGCAGAGUUGGUUUUUUGGUAUGGGAGGUUUGGAAAGCACGAAAUCAGGCAGUGCAUCACAGGUCUAAACCUAGUCCUUUACUAGUAAUUCAAAAUGCUAAACAAAUGGAAAUUGAUUUUGCAAAUGUUGUAGAAGAACCAGCUAUAAGUUCUAAUCAUGAUAGAAGGACAGAUAGAAGGGUCACCUGGAGACCGCCUCCGCCAGGAUGGAUUAAGUGUAAUGUGGAUGCAGCUUUUCGCGAAGUGUACUCUGGAGGAGCAACAGCGGCAGUAUUCAGAGAUCAUGCUGGAAGCCUUCUCACAGCUUCAAAUCAUAGAAUUGCAGCUUCCUCACCUCUAGCUGCGGAAGCAUUUGCGGUUAGGGAAGCAUUAAUAAUGGCUAAAAACUUUCAACUGGAUAGAAUUAUUUUUGAAUCUGACAGUUUGAUACUCAUACAAGCUUUAAAAUCAAAAGCAUCAAUUGCAGAAAUUCAAGUUAUUUUGGAUGACAUUUUGGAAUUAGUGCGAAGUAUCACAAAUUGUGGGUUUACCUGGGUGCCUAGAGAAGGGAAUGGCUUAGCACAUGAAGUAGCUAGGCUUACUGCUGACGGUUCUCUUCAACAGAAUUGGCUCAGGUGCAAGCCACAAAUCAUCAUCAACAUUUUGGCAAAAGAGCACUAUAUGUCUCUGCAACUGGCAAACAGAUCAUGAGUAUGAUGACCUUUUUGUUCUUUUUUGGCUGUGUAUAAAUUAAAUCAGGCAGGGAAUUAUUUAGAUUGCAGAUUGAAAGUUUGGAGGCAUUAUGGAUAUGCAUUUUGGUACCUUGGGUGCUGCAAAUGAUGUGCUGCUAGGUUCUUCAGUGAUGAAGUCCAUCCCCAUAGAUUGCCAGAGACCAGAACUUCUAAACAAGAGACUGAUAGAGGGCAAAGUUCUUCUCUGUGGAUACUCUUUCAACUUCA